CCUACGGGUGGCAGCAGUGAGGAAUAUUGGUCAAUGGCCGAGAGGCUGAACCAGCCAAGUCGCGUGAGGGAAGACGGCCCUACGGGUUGUAAACCUCUUUUGUCGGGGAGCAAAGCGAACCACGUGUGGUUCAUUGAGAGUACCCGAAGAAAAAGCAUCGGCUAACUCCGUGCCAGCAGCCGCGGUAAUACGGAGGUGGCAAGCGUUAUCCGGAUUUACUGGGUGUAAAGGGCGAGUAGGCGGGAUUGCAAGUCAGAUGUGAAAACUAUGGGCUCAACCGAUAGAGUGCAUUUGAAACUGCAGUUCUUGAGUGAUGGAGAGGCAGGCGGAAUUCCCGGUGUAGCGGUGGAAUGCGUAGAUAUCGGGAGGAACACCAGUGGCGAAGGCGGCCUGCUGGACAUUAACUGACGCUGAGGCGCGAAAGCGUGGGGAGCAAACAGGAUUAGAUACCCUAGUAGUC
Molecule: ribosomal RNA, 460 nt
Filed under: uncultured bacterium
Lineage: Bacteria
Description: partial 16S ribosomal RNA
Rfam family: Bacterial small subunit ribosomal RNA
Source: RNAcentral